GACAUUAUUUGCCAACGUGAUAUCAGGAAAGUCACUCAACCAACUCUGCAGGAUGUCCCGACUAUUUAUUCUAGCCUUCUGUCUUCUGUCUUUGCUGGCAGGCAGUGCUUUCGGUGACAUUGACCGGCUAAUUCACGCACUCGGCGGAUCCAACACCUUUGGUUUAAAUAAUCCUUCCACUUCAUUUGGAAUAAGAACCCCUUGGAGCGGAUUUUCUUUUGGCUUUGGUCGUUGAGUUCUCCGGCUGGAGAUCAAGUCUUCUGCAUUUUGUUAUGGGCUGUGAUCAGUCUGUUUGAAAACAAAAAUGUAAAUGUGAAUAUUAAUAUGAAACUUAAAUCUAGUAAAGCGAAUUGAAGCUGUAAAGUGUAGGAACGCUAAUUGGUGAAGAGUCGGUUGUAAUGCAGAAGCCUGAGGAAAAGUGGAAAAUAAAGAAAAGCCUGUGAAGGAUUUGAGAACAUUA
Molecule: long non-coding RNA, 460 nt
Organism: Drosophila eugracilis
Lineage: Eukaryota; Metazoa; Arthropoda; Insecta; Diptera; Drosophilidae
Exons: 2
Source: RefSeq, a predicted model, not a curated record